UCGGGGUUGGCCAUUGUGACCCGUUCCCGUAGCGACCCCA
RNAcentral lists this ribosomal RNA (40 nucleotides) under Dillenia blanchardii. RNAcentral's name for it is "partial 28S ribosomal RNA". Lineage: Eukaryota; Viridiplantae; Streptophyta; Magnoliopsida; Dilleniales; Dilleniaceae. The record is from RNAcentral. RNAcentral also lists the same sequence under 1 other name.